CGGGGUGUGGCGCAGCCUGGUAGCGCAUCUGCUUUGGGAGCAGAGGGUCGGAGGUUCGAAUCCUCUCGCCCCGACCA
Molecule: transfer RNA, 77 nt
Filed under: Caulobacter sp.
Lineage: Bacteria; Pseudomonadati; Pseudomonadota; Alphaproteobacteria; Caulobacterales; Caulobacteraceae
Also listed under: 3 other names
Description: tRNA-Pro
Rfam family: tRNA
About the family: Transfer RNA (tRNA) molecules are approximately 80 nucleotides in length. Their secondary structure includes four short double-helical elements and three loops (D, anti-codon, and T loops).
Source: RNAcentral